RNAcentral lists this ribosomal RNA (163 nucleotides) under uncultured bacterium. RNAcentral describes it as "partial 16S ribosomal RNA". It matches the Rfam family "Bacterial small subunit ribosomal RNA", at positions 355 to 509 of the family's 1533-position model. The record is from RNAcentral.
UUAGGAAUAUUCGUCAAUGGGGGAAACCCUGAACGAGCAAUGCCGCGUGAGUGAUGAAGGUCUACAUGAUUGUAAAACUCUGUUGUAAAGGAAGAAUAGCUACCAUAGGUAAUGAUGGUAGUGUGACGGUACUUUACCAGAAAGCCCCGGCUAACUACGUGCC